GACGAACGCUGGCGGCGUGCCUAACACAUGCAAGUCGAACGGAAAGGCCCUGCUUUUGUGGGGUGCUCGAGUGGCGAACGGGUGAGUAACACGUGAGUAACCUGCCCUUGACUUUGGGAUAACUUCAGGAAACUGGGGCUAAUACCGGAUAGGAGCUCCUGCUGCAUGGUGGGGGUUGGAAAGUUUCGGCGGUUGGGGAUGGACUCGCGGCUUAUCAGCUUGUUGGUGGGGUAGUGGCUUACCAAGGCUUUGACGGGUAGCCGGCCUGAGAGGGUGACCGGCCACAUUGGGACUGAGAUACGGCCCAGACUCCUACGGGAGGCAGCAGUGGGGAAUAUUGCACAGUGGGCGGGAGCCUGAUGCAGCAACGCCGCGUGCGGGAUGACGGCCUUCGGGUUGUAAACCGCUUUCGCCUGUGACGAAGCGUGAGUGACGGUAAUGGGUAAAGAAGCACCGGCUAACUACGUG
RNAcentral lists this ribosomal RNA (468 nucleotides) under uncultured bacterium. RNAcentral's name for it is "partial 16S ribosomal RNA". It matches the Rfam family "Bacterial small subunit ribosomal RNA", at positions 28 to 507 of the family's 1533-position model. The record is from RNAcentral.